This 634-nucleotide ribosomal RNA is filed under the name uncultured bacterium. RNAcentral describes it as "bacterial SSU rRNA". The stretch from base 1 to 542 matches the Rfam family "Bacterial small subunit ribosomal RNA", at positions 338 to 873 of the family's 1533-position model. The record is from RNAcentral.
CCUACGGGAGGCAGCAGUGGGGAAUUUUGGACAAUGGGCGCAAGCCUGAUCCAGCCAUGCCGCGUGUGGGAAGAAGGCCUUCGGGUUGUAAACCACUUUUGUCAGGGAAGAAACGGCUCUUACUAAUAUUAGGAGCUAAUGACGGUACCUGAAGAAUAAGCACCGGCUAACUACGUGCCAGCAGCCGCGGUAAUACGUAGGGUGCAAGCGUUAAUCGGAAUUACUGGGCGUAAAGCGUGCGCAGGCGGCUUUGCAAGACAGAUGUGAAAUCCCCGGGCUCAACCUGGGAACUGCAUUUGUGACUGCAUGGCUAGAGUACGGUAGAGGGGGAUGGAAUUCCGCGUGUAGCAGUGAAAUGCGUAGAUAUGCGGAGGAACACCGAUGGCGAAGGCAAUCCCCUGGACCUGUACUGACGCUCAUGCACGAAAGCGUGGGGAGCAAACAGGAUUAGAUACCCUGGUAGUCCACGCCCUAAACGAUGUCAACUGGUUGUUGGACGGCUUGCUGUUCAGUAACGAAGCUAACGCGUGAAGUUGACCGCCUGGGGGUAAGGUACGGCCGCGAGUAGUUAACGUUACGAAGUUAGAGUUAGACGGCGUUGAGACGNGCCGACGGACGACGACGAGGGAGGAGG